RNAcentral lists this long non-coding RNA (365 nucleotides) under Phasianus colchicus (ring-necked pheasant). RNAcentral's name for it is "lncRNA (ENSPCLG00000003858.1)". The record is from RNAcentral. Lineage: Eukaryota; Metazoa; Chordata; Aves; Galliformes; Phasianidae.
AUGACAACGAAUGGAUGUUGUCAAGAAACAGGCCACAAAGGGGACAUGGGCUCAGACCCCGCUCGCAACAUGGCGGACGUUGGUUCAGGGUGGCUGCCCACAACAUGGCGGACGUUGGUUCAGGGUGGCUGCCCACAACAUGGCGGACGUUGGUUCAGGAUGGCGGCCCACAACGUGGUGGCGGCGGCGAGGGGCGGCUUGCUCUGCGGGGCAUCGCGAGCAGGACAGAAACCUUUGUUCAUGUCUUCUGGUAGUCAUCAUCUUCUUUUGAGCUGCACCUACAACACAAAGAACAAGUGAACGAGCAACUUUACGCUUCUCCAGAACAGCUUAAAACAGUUCUAAUAAAGUACAAAGCAACAGCA